This 696-nucleotide ribosomal RNA is filed under the name Acinetobacter sp. ICB117. RNAcentral describes it as "partial 16S ribosomal RNA". The stretch from base 271 to 696 matches the Rfam family "Bacterial small subunit ribosomal RNA", at positions 933 to 1328 of the family's 1533-position model. Lineage: Bacteria; Pseudomonadati; Pseudomonadota; Gammaproteobacteria; Moraxellales; Moraxellaceae. The record is from RNAcentral.
CCCGGUGGGGGCCCUUUUUUGAAGGCCUUUUUAAAUUGGGCCGCCAACUCUUAAACGACGAUAUUAAGUUUAGGCCCGCCGCCUGGGGGGAAUGUUCACGGUUUUGCGCGCAGGAGCAAUUUAUAAAGUGUCGAAAAUGGGGAAGAUUGGCACCGGCGGGGGCCCCCCGGCGGACACCAAACCCGGGUUGGACACACAUUGGUGUGUCAUUAAAUUCUGAGAAGUCCACAAACACGUCCUGUAAGGGACCCUCUAACACCGGGGUUUCCUUGGAGACACCAUAUAGUUUAAAGGAACCACUGUUCUCCACAGAGGGAUUGAAAUUGGGUGGCCCCUUUCCGGGGGAAACCUUAACAAUUACCAGGUCCUUGUGCAAUUGGCCUGUUCGGUCAAGGCUUCGGUUGUUCCGGUUGAAGAAUUGUUGGGGUUAAAGUCCCCGCAAACCGGAGGCCGGCAAACCCCUUUUUUCCCUUUAUUUGCCCAGCGGGGUUUAAGCCGGGAACUUUAAGGAUACUGCCAGUGACAAACUGGAGGAAGGCGGGGACGACGUCAAGUCAUCAUGGCCCUUACGACCAGGGCUACACACGUGCUACAAUGGUCGGUACAAAGGGUUGCUACCUAGCGAUAGGAUGCUAAUCUCAAAAAGCCGAUCGUAGUCCGGAUUUGGAAUACUGCAACGGGGACUCCAUGAAGUCG